AAAAAAAAAAAAAAAAAACAGUAUGAAAAAAUCAGAAUAAUCCUAAAACGCCAACUAAAGGAGGCGUUCUGCUGAUUUGGAGUUGUCCAAAAGUUGGGAAAAAGCAGUGGGAAGCAUGGAAAUGGGCAUGAGACUUUGCUGCUGGUGGAAGUGAUUUUUCCUCAAGACUCAUGACAAAUGUUUUCUCUGGUGUUCAGCAAAUGAAAUUCAAAAGUCAGAUGAACUCGUAACAUCGCUGCUUCUCUUGCUGCAGUAAGGCCAAGAAAGAUGGAGGGCAUGGCCAGCUCCAAGACUUCACUGAGUCUCCCCAAGGCAGGAAAGGAGCUUCAGUCCUAGAGUCCUCUGAUAACAUUAUUUCCUCAAGGUGAACAUGCUUCCAGAAGUUAUUUGGAGUAAUUCUCU
Molecule: long non-coding RNA, 402 nt
Filed under: Anser brachyrhynchus (Pink-footed goose)
Lineage: Eukaryota; Metazoa; Chordata; Aves; Anseriformes; Anatidae
Description: lncRNA (ENSABRG00000005998.1)
Source: RNAcentral